CCUACGGGAGGCUGCAGUGGGGAAUAUUGGACAAUGGGCGAAAGCCUGAUCCAGCCAUGCCGCGUGUGUGAAGAAGGCCUUCGGGUUGUAAAGCACUUUCAGUGGGGAAGAAAGCCUUGGGGCUAAUACCCUCGAGGAAGGACAUCACCCACAGAAAAAGCACCGGCUAACUCCGUGCCAGCAGCCGCGGUAAUACGGAGGGGUGCGAGCGUUAAUCGGAAUUACUGGGCGUAAAGCGCGCGUAGGCGGUCUGAUAAGCCGGUUGUGAAAGCCCCGGGCUCAACCUGGGAACGGCAUCCGGAACUGUCAGGCUAGAGUGCAGGAGAGGAAGGUAGAAUUCCCGGUGUAGCGGUGAAAUGCGUAGAGAUCGGGAGGAAUACCAGUGGCGAAGGCGGCCUUCUGGACUGACACUGACGCUGAGGUGCGAAAGCGUGGGUAGCAAACAGGAUUAGAUACCCCUGUAGUC
RNAcentral lists this ribosomal RNA (466 nucleotides) under Vreelandella stevensii. RNAcentral describes it as "partial 16S ribosomal RNA". It matches the Rfam family "Bacterial small subunit ribosomal RNA", at positions 338 to 795 of the family's 1533-position model. The record is from RNAcentral. Lineage: Bacteria; Pseudomonadati; Pseudomonadota; Gammaproteobacteria; Oceanospirillales; Halomonadaceae.